GGAUUGUGGCUCAGCGGUAGAGCACUCGCCUAGUACGGGCGUGACCGGGGUUCAAUUCUCAGCACCA
This 67-nucleotide transfer RNA is filed under the name Marmota monax (woodchuck). RNAcentral's name for it is "tRNA.Thr". Lineage: Eukaryota; Metazoa; Chordata; Mammalia; Rodentia; Sciuridae. The record is from RNAcentral.